GACGAACGCUGGCGGCGUGCUUAACACAUGCAAGUCGAACGGGUCUGCCCUGUUUUUUGCGGGGUGGGUCAGUGGCGAACGGGUGAGUAACACGUGAGUAACCUGCCCCUCACUUCUGGAUAACCGCUUGAAGGGGUGGCUAAUACGGGGUGUUCUGGCUGUGCCGCAUGGUGUGGCUGGGAAAGAUUCACUUUUGUGGUGUUUUGGUGGGGGAUGGGCUCGCGGCCUAUCAGCUUGUUGGUGGGGUGAUGGCCUGCCAAGGCUUUGACGGGUAGCCGGCCUGGGAGGGUGGGCGGUCACACUGGGACUGAGAUACGGCCCAGACUCCUGCGGGAGGCAGCAGUGGGGGGUAUUGCACAAUGGGCGGAAGCCUGAUGCAGCGACGUCGCGUGAGGGAUGGAGGCCUUCGGGUUGUGAACCUCUUUCGCCGGUGAAGAAGGUCCUGCUCUUUGUGGUGGGGUUGACGGUAGCCGGGUUAUGAAGCGCCGGCUAACUACGUG
Molecule: ribosomal RNA, 500 nt
Filed under: uncultured bacterium
Lineage: Bacteria
Description: partial 16S ribosomal RNA
Rfam family: Bacterial small subunit ribosomal RNA
Source: RNAcentral